AGCGAACGCUGGCGGCAGGCCUAAAACAUGCAAGUCGAACGGAUCCUUCGGGAUUAGUGGCGGACGGGUGAGUAACACGUGGAACGUGCCUUUUGGUUCGGAACAACUCAGGGAAACUUGAGCUAAUACCGAAUGUGCCCUUCGGGGGAAAGAUUUAUCGCCAUUAGGGCGGCCCGCGUCUGAUUAGCUUGUUGGUGAGGUAAAGGCUCACCAAGGCGACGAUCAGUAGCUGGUCUGAGAGGAUGAUCAGCCACACUGGGACUGAGACACGGCCCAGACUCCUACGGGAGGCAGCAGUUAGGAAUCUUGCGCAAUGGGGGAAACCCUGACGCAGCCAUGCCGCGUGAAUGAUGAAGGUCUUAGGAUUGUAGAAUUCUUUCAGCGGGGACGAUAAUGACGGUACCCGCAGAAGAAGCCCCGGCUAACUUCGUGCCAGCAGCCGCGGUAAU
This 449-nucleotide ribosomal RNA is filed under the name uncultured bacterium. RNAcentral describes it as "bacterial SSU rRNA". It matches the Rfam family "Bacterial small subunit ribosomal RNA", at positions 29 to 524 of the family's 1533-position model. The record is from RNAcentral.